RNAcentral lists this ribosomal RNA (460 nucleotides) under uncultured bacterium. RNAcentral's name for it is "partial 16S ribosomal RNA". It matches the Rfam family "Bacterial small subunit ribosomal RNA", at positions 338 to 795 of the family's 1533-position model. The record is from RNAcentral.
CCUACGGGCGGCAGCAGUGAGGAAUAUUGGUCAAUGGACGAGAGUCUGAACCAGCCAAGUAGCGUGAAGGAUGACUGCCCUAUGGGUUGUAAACUUCUUUUAUAUGGGAAUAAAAUGUUCCACGUGUGGGAUUUUGUAUGUACCAUAUGAAUAAGGAUCGGCUAACUCCGUGCCAGCAGCCGCGGUAAUACGGAGGAUCCGAGCGUUAUCCGGAUUUAUUGGGUUUAAAGGGAGCGUAGGUGGAUUGUUAAGUCAGUUGUGAAAGUUUGCGGCUCAACCGUAAAAUUGCAGUUGAAACUGGCAGUCUUGAGUACAGUAGAGGUGGGCGGAAUUUGUGGUGUAGCGGUGAAAUGCUUAGAUAUCACGAAGAACUCCGAUUGCGAAGGCAGUUCACUGGACUGCAACUGACACUGAGGCUCGAAAGUGUGGGUAUCAAACAGGAUUAGAUACCCGGGUAGUC